CAAUAGCGUAUAUUAAAGUUGUUGCAGUUAAAAAGCUCGUAGUUGGAUUUCUGGUGGGAGCGAUCGGUCUGGCGCUUAGCGCGAGUACUUGCAUCGUCUCCGGCCAUCCUUGGGGAAAGUCUGUCUGGCAUUAAGUUGUCGGGCAGAGGAUCCUCAUCGUUUACUGUGAAAAAAUUAGAGUGUUCAAAGCAGGCUUAUGCCGUUGAAUAUAUUAGCAUGGAAUAAUAAGAUAGGACUUUGGUACUAUUUUGUUGGGUUGCGCACCAAAGUAAUGAUUAAUAGGGACAGUUGGGGGUAUUCGUAUUCCGUUGUCAGAGGUGAAAUUCUUGGAUUUACGGAAGACGAACUACUGCGAAAGCAUUUACCAAGGAUGUUUUCAUUAA
RNAcentral lists this ribosomal RNA (383 nucleotides) under uncultured eukaryote. RNAcentral's name for it is "partial 18S ribosomal RNA". It matches the Rfam family "Eukaryotic small subunit ribosomal RNA", at positions 592 to 976 of the family's 1831-position model. The record is from RNAcentral.